UACGAAGGGGGCUAGCGUUACUCGGAUUGACUGGGCGUAAAGGGCGCGUAGGCGGCUUGUACAGUCAGACGUGAAAUUCCUGGGCUCAACCUGGGGGCUGCGUUUGAUACGUGCGGGCUUGAGUUCGGAAGAGGGUCGUGGAAUUCCCAGUGUAGAGGUGAAAUUCGUAGAUAUUGGGAAGAACACCGGUGGCGAAGGCGGCGACCUGGUCCGAUACUGACGCUGAGGCGCGAAAGUGUGGGGAGCAAACAGG
RNAcentral lists this ribosomal RNA (253 nucleotides) under uncultured bacterium. Its description in RNAcentral is "partial 16S ribosomal RNA". It matches the Rfam family "Bacterial small subunit ribosomal RNA", at positions 524 to 776 of the family's 1533-position model. The record is from RNAcentral.